This is a non-coding RNA of Etheostoma spectabile (orangethroat darter), 577 nucleotides long. The record is from the annotation of a RefSeq genome assembly. Lineage: Eukaryota; Metazoa; Chordata; Actinopteri; Perciformes; Percidae.
CCUGUUGUAGUGAACCUUGUAGCUCCACUAGAGGGCGACAUUAUCAAGUAGGAGGUGCACUACUUGUGCACUGUGUUCAACCAUUCAGUCAAUAAGAAGUGGAGCUGUGAAGAGAACAAUUCUCAGACUGGAUGUUGAACAUCAGCUAGUUUCUCCUGUUGAUUUAAACCUUGUUGUAGAGAUGGAACAUUGGCUGGGGAUUAUUCUUGCUGCUCUUUUCUUUGAGUGUAAAGGAGAAGACAGAGUGAUCCAGCCACCAGGAGAUGUCAUUACUACUGAAGGAGAGACAUUUACUCUUGGCUGUACAUUUGAGACCACUGCCUCCUAUUCUUAUUUGUUCUGGUACAAACAACAAGAAAAUAGCUCUCCAAAGUUUAUGCUAAGUGUCUACUCUGGAGCAAAAGAUGCUGAAGAUAUUCCCAAAGGAAGAAUUUAUUCUACAGUCAAGGAUAAGACAGUUCCUCUGAAGAUCUCUCAGCUAAGCUGUCUGACUCUGCUGGUGUACUACUGUGCUCUGAGGCCCACAGUGACAGGAAACACCAAAACUCUGUACAAAAACCUUUGGAGCAAAGACACA